Molecule: ribosomal RNA, 402 nt
Filed under: uncultured euryarchaeote
Lineage: Archaea; Methanobacteriati; Methanobacteriota
Description: bacterial SSU rRNA
Rfam family: Archaeal small subunit ribosomal RNA
Source: RNAcentral
CGCGUAAUACCGGCGGCUCGAGUGGUGGCCAAUUUUAUUGGGUUUAAAGCGUUCGUAGCCGGAAUAAUAAGUCUCUUGGGAAAUCUGCAGGCUUAACCGGCAGGCGUUUAAGAGAAACUGUUGUUCUAGGAACCGGAAGAGGUGAGAGGUACUCCGGGGGUAGGAGUGAAAUCCUGUAAUCCCCGGGGGACCACCGRUGGCGAAGGCAUCUSACCAGGACGGCUUCGACAGUGAGGAACGAAAGCUGGGGGAGCGAACCGGAUUAGAUACCCGGGUAGUCCCAGCCGUAAACGAUGUGCGUUAGGUGUGCCGGUGACCACGAGUCACUGGGGUGCCGAAGGGAAACCGUGAAACCUGCCGCCUGGGAAGUACGGUCGCAAGGCUGAAACUUAAAGGAAUUGG